UACGGAAGGUGCAAGCGUUAGUCGGAAUUACUGGGCGUAAAGGGUGCGUAGGCGGUGAUAUAAGUCGGGCGUGAAAUCCCGGGGCUCAACCCCGGAACGGCGUACGAUACUGUAUUACUAGAGGAAUGGCGGAGAAAAUGGAAUUCCAUAUGUAGCGGUGAAAUGCGUAGAUAUAUGGAAGAACACCUGUGGCGAAAGCGGUUUUCUAGCCUCCUCCUGACGCUGAGGCACGAAAGCAAGGGGAG
This 245-nucleotide ribosomal RNA is filed under the name uncultured bacterium. Its description in RNAcentral is "partial 16S ribosomal RNA". It matches the Rfam family "Bacterial small subunit ribosomal RNA", at positions 524 to 768 of the family's 1533-position model. The record is from RNAcentral.